RNAcentral lists this ribosomal RNA (387 nucleotides) under uncultured bacterium. RNAcentral's name for it is "bacterial SSU rRNA". It matches the Rfam family "Bacterial small subunit ribosomal RNA", at positions 28 to 416 of the family's 1533-position model. The record is from RNAcentral.
GACGAACGCUGGCGGCGUGCUUAACACAUGCAAGUCGAGCGGUAAGGCCCUUUCGGGGGUACGACGAGCGGCGAACGGGUGAGUAACACGUGGGUGACCUGCCCUCAGCUCUGGGAUAAGCCUGGGAAACCGGGUCUAAUACUGGAUAUGACUCCAUGACGCAUGUUGUGGGGUGGAAAGCCUUGUGCGGCUGAGGAUGGGCCCGCGGCCUAUCAGCUUGUUGGUGGGGUGAGGCCUACCAAGGCGACGACGGGUAGCCGGCCUGAGAGGGCGACCGGCCACACUGGGACUGAGACACGGCCCAGACUCCUACGGGAGGCAGCAGUGGGGAAUCUUGCGCAAUGGGCGAAAGCCUGACGCAGCGACGCCGCGUGAGGGAUGACCGGG